RNAcentral lists this ribosomal RNA (416 nucleotides) under uncultured bacterium. RNAcentral describes it as "bacterial SSU rRNA". It matches the Rfam family "Bacterial small subunit ribosomal RNA", at positions 47 to 513 of the family's 1533-position model. The record is from RNAcentral.
CCUACCAUGCAAGUCGAGCGCCCCGCAAGGGGAGCGGCGGACGGGUGAGUAACGCGUGGGAACGUACCCUUUGCUACGGAAUAGCCUCGGGAAACUGGGAGUAAUACCGUAUGUGCCCUUCGGGGGAAAGAUUUAUCGGCAAAGGAUCGGCCCGCGUUGGAUUAGGUAGUUGGUGGGGUAAUGGCCUACCAAGCCGACGAUCCAUAGCUGGUUUGAGAGGAUGAUCAGCCACACUGGGACUGAGACACGGCCCAGACUCCUACGGGAGGCAGCAGUGGGGAAUCUUAGACAAUGGGCGCAAGCCUGAUCUAGCCAUGCCGCGUGAGCGAUGAAGGCCUUAGGGUUGUAAAGCUCUUUCAGUGGGGAAGAUAAUGACUGUACCCACAGAAGAAGCCCCGGCUAACUCCGUGCCAGCA